GACGAACGCUGGCGGUGUGCUUAACACAUGCAAGUCGAACGGUAAGGCCCUUUCGGGGGUACACGAGUGGCGAACGGGUGAGUAACACGUGAGUAACCUGCCCUCAUCUCUGGGAUAACAGUCGGAAACGGUUGCUAAUACUGGAUAUGAGCUUGCAAGGCAUCUUGUGGGUUGGAAAGAUUUUUUUUGGUUGGGGAUGGACUCGCGGCCUAUCAGCUUGUUGGUGAGGUAGUGGCUCACCAAGGCUUCGACGGGUAGCCGGCCUGAGUGGGCGACCGGCCACAUUGGGACUGAGAUACGGCCCAAACUCCUACGGGAGGCAGCAGUGGGGAAUAUUGCACAAUGGACGGAAGUCUGAUGCAGCAACGCCGCGUGCGGGAUGACGGCCUUCGGGUUGUAAACCGCUUUCAAUUGUGACGAAGCUUUAUUGUGACGGUAGCAGUAGAAGAAGCACCGGCUAACUACGUG
This 468-nucleotide ribosomal RNA is filed under the name uncultured bacterium. RNAcentral describes it as "partial 16S ribosomal RNA". It matches the Rfam family "Bacterial small subunit ribosomal RNA", at positions 28 to 507 of the family's 1533-position model. The record is from RNAcentral.